AUGGGACUAAUCUGUAUUGGUGAAUAUGUUGUCAAGAACUCGAAUGGCAUUGACAUAGCCAAGCUGAUCAAGCACUCGGCAGAGAACCGCGGGAUCAAGGGCUCUGACAAAAGGCGACGCCGUCGAUCCGACCUCGCUGCUCAUGGAAGAGUGCGACGUGCUCAUCCCGGCAGCUCUGGGAGGAGUCAUAAAAAAAUUCUGGCAAAGAAGGGCGUGCUGAUCCUACCGGACAUCAUGGCCAACUCCGGCGUAGUGAUGGUGAGCUGCUUCGAGUGGGUGCAGAACAUCCAGGGGUUCAUGUGGGACGAGGAGAAGAAUUGGCUCAAUUUGGAAGAAUGCCUACAUCAUAUGAACUUCUUGCCCGCUUUGCACGCGUUGCUACAUGUGCAUUAUCAUGCCUCAGCCAUAAUCAUUGCCGACAAAUAUGGAACAGAAGAACCUGAAAUUUUUCUUGUGGAGUCGACUGAAGUAAUCCAUCAAGCUAGCUGCAUUAUUGAUUCUAUUCUUUUUGCUGGCGAGUGUUUUAGAUGUAAGGUUACUCCGAUGCAGAAAGGUAUGGAUCAGAUGGUGCAAAUGAUAGAAGUGGAACUUGCAGCUCAUUAG
Molecule: ribosomal RNA, 603 nt
Filed under: Triticum aestivum (bread wheat)
Lineage: Eukaryota; Viridiplantae; Streptophyta; Magnoliopsida; Poales; Poaceae
Description: partial small subunit ribosomal RNA
Source: RNAcentral